This 54-nucleotide transfer RNA is filed under the name Acerentomon microrhinus. Its description in RNAcentral is "tRNA-Thr". Lineage: Eukaryota; Metazoa; Arthropoda; Protura; Acerentomata; Acerentomidae. The record is from RNAcentral.
AAAUUUUAGUUUAUAAAAAAAUAUAAUUUUUGUAAAAUUAAGAAAAAAAAUUUC